UUCUAGUAAGAUUUUUGAUGAGUUGGAAGUGUCUCCAGGAUUUGAUAAAAUCGUUGACGGGGGUAGAAACGAUCACCAGGAACCCCCUAAAAAGACAUCAGUUGGUACACAAACAGACCAUAGAGACUAUAACGAUUUAACAGAACAUUUGAAAUCCAAUUAUCAAACAAAAAUCGCUAAGAUUAACAAUGACAUCAGACAGUUUAGGAAGCUGUUUACAUCUAAGAUUUCAAAAGUGAAAAAUUCAACAAAAGAAGUUUCAAAGAAAAUGUGUGACAUUCAACUAAAAAUUCCUGCCUUAACACAAGAAAAUAAAUUUCUAUCAGAUGAAAAGGAUACGUUGCACGCAAAGAUUGUGGAAGAGACCGCAGUGGAACAAGAUAUAAAUGAGAAAUUCUUUAGCUUGCAUGCAUAUGUGCAAUAUCAGGGUCAGACAGCGCUAACAGAACCAGCGGAGAUGAUACACUAGUUUUGUUUGAGUUAUUGCUCUUAUGAUGAUCUAUCUGUAUCACAAUUCGUAGAAAAUAUCCAGUGGAAGAGGAUGCAUGAAAUCUUCAUUUAAAAAUAAGUUAGUUUUUACCGAUGUUAUAGGUCUCAUUUCAUGCCUUCGGAAACCUAACUAAUUGUUCCAAACCUAAUUCAUCGUCUUGAAAUUAGUACAGCUUAUGAAUAAAACAUAGACAAUGUAAUCAUCUUUCGGUAAACAAUUAUUCCUCUUUGAACAAAUAAAAUCAUUACAUGAUAAAACGAGGAACGUUUUUCAUGUUGAUCGACA
Molecule: long non-coding RNA, 775 nt
Organism: Mytilus californianus (California mussel)
Lineage: Eukaryota; Metazoa; Mollusca; Bivalvia; Mytilida; Mytilidae
Exons: 2
Source: RefSeq, a predicted model, not a curated record